RNAcentral lists this unclassified non-coding RNA (717 nucleotides) under Hevea brasiliensis (rubber tree). Lineage: Eukaryota; Viridiplantae; Streptophyta; Magnoliopsida; Malpighiales; Euphorbiaceae. The record is from RNAcentral.
GAACAUCAAAAUUUGGCGUAUGUUCGACAGUUUUUGUCGGAGAAUACUGUGUUCGGACCGGAGCUGGUCGUUCUCCCUCCUUACGCUGUGACAAUGGUACACAACAAAGCGCAACCGGUUCGAGAGUUCUCGAUUUUGAAUCCUCAGUUGGUUCACCUGAUUUCUUAGAUUUUCUAAGUGUCUUUGUUUUCGCAUGCGUGACCGCCUGGCUGACUCCCGAUUCGAUAUCAUCCGCCUCCGUUUCCGCUCAUCGAUCACCGAAACGGUGGUUGGUUUCUGUUCAUCAGAACUACAGUUAGAGUUGGCAGGGUUUUGGUUAGACCGGUUCGGUUCGUUUGGAUCAUCAGAACCAGAGCUCGAAACUAUGGGUUUUGUUAAUUGGGGAUCGGUGGCGGCAAAGAGGUCAGAACAGUCCCACGGCGGUGUAUAGCCGUUUUCAAAGGACGGAAACGGGUUUCCAAGUAUGGAAUCAGCGGAGGAGAAGAAGCCUGCCGGAAUAGCAGUAGCAGAUAACAUGUUUGACAGAAUUGCUUAAUAGACAAGGGAGGAAGGAAGGAGGAGGAAAGGGAAGAAAUGCGGUCUAAGGGCCUCAUAUUUAUGGCCAAAAUUGGAGUGCAAUUCUGGGACCCACUCUUUGGCGUGAAAAAUGCCAUUGAGGGGUAUUUUGGUCUUAUCACCCUUGUGGGGUUUGCGGGGAUUGGCUUUCGAGUCAGUGGG